AUACUGAGACUAAGGUAGAAAAAGACACUUCCAAAGGGUGUCAAUGACAAGAGAGAAAUAGACAUAGAGUGGUCACUUCAUUUACCAACCCUGGAACCGCAGACCUCUGGGCUUCCUGGCUCUAGGAAUGCAGUGCAAGACAGGCAAGGUUCUUGCUCAUACAGAGCUUCUAGAAACCUGGGAUACAGAGAUGCAAUCAAGUGAUAAAACACAUGGAUGAAGGCUCUGCCAUUGAACACAUGGUUCUUGACAAGCCCACAGAGAGGCACAGCUAAGCCAGCCCUGGGGAGCCAGGGAGGGUUCCCUGGAGGGAGAGAAGCUGGAUCCAGGUCUGAAAGAUGACUUGAAGUCAGCCAUGAGCAAGGAAGAGAUUUUCCAGGCCAAGCGAACAGCCUGUGAGUGGUGCCAUUUGGGAGGAAGAGUUGGAAGAAGAAGAGCGAUAGAUAGAGAGAGGAGACAACAAGGUCCCUCUGGGACAGGCUGAAUUCCAGAUGUCUGUGGGACACUAGGCCAUUGGCUAUGGUGGUCUGAGACCCUAAACAGGGGCCUGGGAUAGGGUUUUAGUCUGGUCACCAUGUACACACGGAGGCAGGGUAUAGAGUGAGAAGAUGGGAUGAUUGAAAGGCCUGGGACACGAGCCAGGGAAACGCAGGAUAGAAAUGACUGGCAGAGGCUGGGCACGGUGGCUUACGCCUGUAAUCCCCACACUUUGGGAGGCCGAGGUGGGUGGAUCACUUGAGGCCAGGAGUUCAAGACCAGGCUGGCCAACGUGGAGAAACCCCAUCUCUACUAAAAUACAAAAAAUUAGCGGGUCAUGGUGGCAUGCACCUGUAAUCCCAGCUACUCAGGAGGCUGAGGCAAGAGAAUCUCUUGAAUCCUGGAGGCAGAGCUUGCAGUGAGCUGAUAUCACGACACUGCACUCCAACCUGAGCGACAGACCAAGACUCUGUCUCAAAAGAAAAAAAAAAAAAAGAGGUGACUGACAGAGAAUGACCCCAGCAAAGGACCAGAGAAGGAGCAGUCCACGGAGGACCACUUGGAGAGGGUGGGUGGGGGGAAACCCAGCUCACAGGAGAAGGUGUGGCCGAUGGUGUGGCAUGCUGCUGAAAGGCCAGAUAAAGAAAAUGGGUACGGCCAAGACCAUAGACCUAGUGAUUGUCAGAUGAACAAUUAGACCCACAGAACCAUCCAAGCUACAGAGGACGCAUUCUGCCUUCCCUUGGAUCCUGUGGUUUGAGGAUGGAGGUCUAGGACCGUGGCAGGCUUUUUGUCCCAUGAGGGAAGGCCAUGGAGCUGAGGAAGGGGAAGAACACACACACCUAAUGGAAUCUCGAGAGAAAGUUCAGACAUCAAAAGACAGAAGCGACAGAGACCCAGGUCUGUGGGGACGCUGUAUGGCUGAGUCAAGUCUUGAUCAAAGUCAGCAUUAUAUCUGGACUUGCACAGUUUCUGAGCCUUGAAACUCCAUUUCGUUUAAGUGAGCUUUUAACUGUCACAGGCAGCUGCAUGCACACACAAGUCCAUGUGAUUAGAUGUUUCCAAGAGUCUGGAAUAACAUACCCCAAACUGUUAAUAGUGGUUACCCUAUAGAAGGGGAGUAGGAAGGUGUGUGUUGGGGUGGAGGAUGGUUUGCCAACUGGAAACUCACUCCAGGCUAACAUUUAUUGCUAGGCACCAUUCUAAACUUUGCCAGUAAUCCUCUCCCUAGAGGCUGAGGAAGACCACUUCUUCAAGCCCUAUUUAAUAGACAGCGUGGCCAGGCAUGGUUGCUCACGCCUGUAAUCCCACCACUUUGGGAGGCCGAGGCAGGUGGAUCACCUGAGGUCAGGAGUUCGAGACCAGCCUGGCCAACGUGGUAAAACCUCUUCUCUACUAAAAAUACAAAAAAAAUUAGCUGGGCUUGGUGGCGGGCACCUGUAGUCCCAGCUACACGGGAGGCUGAGGCAGGAGAAUUGCUUGAAUCCAGGAGGCAGAGGUUGCAGUAAGCCAAGGUCGCACCACUGCACUCCAGCCUGGGUGACAGAGCGAGACUCUGUCUCAAAAAAAAAAAAAAAAAAAAAAAAAAAGAGGAAAGAAAAAUGAAAGAAAGAAAGAAAAAUUAGCUGGGUGUGGUGGCGUACGCCUGUAGUCCCAAGUCCCAGCUACUCGGGAGGCUGAGACAGGAGAAUCGCUUAUCACUGGAGUCCAGGAGGCAGAGAGUGCAGUGAUAUCUCACCAUUGUACUCCAGCCUGGGUGACAGAGAGAGACAUAGUCUCAGAAAACGGAAAAAAAAAAAAAGAGAGAUGGGGAAAUGGAAGAUAUAGGGGUUACAUCACCUGCUCAAAAUUAUGCUGCAAGUAAGUGGUGACACUGGGAUUUGAACUGAGACAGUCUAGCUUCAGGUGGCCGCAUCCUUCCCACUGCAUUCUCCUGCCUCUCUAGCUCCCUCAGUGGGCUGCUGGGUCCCAGGCCUUGGGCUGGCAUGGAUAAUCCCUUCAUGCUCCCCUUGUCACUAAACCCCCCCACCUCACCUGCCAACACACACACAACCACCUGGAGCCCCUGCCAGUGUUUCCUCUUCCUCCCACUUGGCAUGUUGAAGACCAGAAUCACUCCCCUUUCACUCCCCACUUCAUCCCACCUGGGAAAACAGGACCCUGCCGGCCAACUCAGAGCCCCACAGGGUUGCAUUUUAGGUACCGUUUACAUUUUCUUUAAGCCCUGUUCACAUUCUCCAUUCACAUUGGGAAAAAUAUAAAGGGUUAGUAUCCCCAGCAUUGAUGAGGUUCUAAGGCAGAGGGUACGCAGGUGGGACUACAGCGCUUUUUGGGGGACAUUUGGAUAAAAUCCAUCCCAUUGCCGGGCGCAGUGGCUCAUGCCUGUAAUCCCAGCACUUUGUGAGGCUGAGGUGGGCGGAUCGCUUGAGGUCAGGAGUUGGAAACCAGCUGGCCAACGUGACAAAACCCCAUCUCUACUAAAAAUACAAAAAUUAGUUGGGUGUGGUGGCGGGCGCCUGUAAUCCCAGCUACUCAGGAGGCUGAGGCAUGACAAUUGCUUGAACCCGGGAGGCGGAGGUUGCAGUGAACGGAGAUUGUGCCACUGCACUCCAGCCUGGGGGAUACAGUAAGACUCUCUUUUUUGAGAUGCGUUUCUCUCUUUCACCCAGGCUGGAGCGCAGUGGUGCGGAUCUUGGCUCACUGCAACCUCAGCCUCCCAGGUUCAAGCAAUUCUCAUGCCCCAGCCUCCCGAGUAGCUGGGAUUACAGGCACAUGCCACCAUGCCCGGCUAAUUUUUGUAUGUUUAGUAGAGAUGGGGUUUCACCAUGUUGUCCAUCCUGGUCUCAAACUCCCGACCUCAGGUGAUCCACCCGCAUCAACCUCCCUAAGUGCUGGAAUAAUAGGCAUGAGCCACCGUGGUCAGCCGAGAAUGCACAUACUCUCUCCAUUCUUCCUCCAUGCGUACGCCCAUUUCUGCCUUGGUUGCCCACCUCUGACCACAAUCCAGAACUAACCACUCCACUUUUAGGAAAGUAUCCUACAGAAAUAGCUCAACAAGUACACUGGCUACAGCAUUCCUGUAAAUGGUCAGAGGCCAUGGAACUCCAACAGCUGCCAAAAGGAAAAAAGUAGCUCUGGGCCAGGCAUGGCGGCUCACACUUGUAAUCCCAGAGCUUUGGAAGGCCAAGGCAGGAGAAUUGCUUGAGGCUAGGAGUUCGAGACCAGUCUGGGCAACAUAUUGAGAACCUGUCUGUGCAAAAAAAAUUUAAAAAUUAGCGAAGUGUGGUGGUGUGUGCCUAUAGUCCCAGCUACUUGGGAGGCUGAGGUGGGAGGAUCACUUGAGCCCAGGAGUUUGAGGUUACAGCGAGCUGUGAUAGCAUCACUGCACUCCAGCCUGGGUGACAGAGUGAGACCCUGACUCAAAAACAAAAGUAACUCUGACUUAGGAACAGGCACAGAGGAGAUCAUGGUACACUGUUGAUAAAACAAUUUGCAGAAUAAUUUGUAGAAUACGACCCAAGUUUUUUAAAACAAUAAAAACAAAACACACAACAUAAGCAUAUAGAAAAUUGCCUGAGCUUUCCUCAGCUGCUGCCAAGGUGUUCGGUCCUUCCGAGGAAGCUAAGGACACAUUGAGGUGAGGCCCUCACUUCAUCCAGUGACUAGCACUGCGUCCGGCAGCGCCAGUCCCACACUCGCCCGCGCCAUGGCCUCCAUCUCCGAGCUCGCCUGCAUCUACUCAGCCCUCAUUCUGCACGACAAUGAGGUGACUGUCACAGAGUAUAAGAUCAAGGCCCUCAUUAAAGCAGCUGGUGUAAAUGUUGAACCUUUUCGGCCUGGCUUGUUUGCAAAGGCCCCGGCCAAUGUCAACAUUAGGAGCCUCAUCUGCAAUGUAGGGGCUGGAGGACCUGCUCCAGCAGCUGGUGCUGCACCAGCAGGAGGUGAUCCACCCGCAUCAACCUCCCUAAGUGCUGGGAUAAUAGGCAUGAGCCACCGUGGUCAGCCAAGAAUGCGCAUACUCUCUCCAUUCUUCCUCCAUGCGUACGCCCAUUUCUGCCUUGGUUGCCCACCUCCACUGCUGCUGCUCCAGCUGAGGAGAAGAAAAUGGAAGCAAAGAAAGAAGAAUUUGAGGACUCUGAUGAUGACAUGGGCUUUGGUCUUUCUGACUAAACCUCUUUUAUAAUAUAUUCGAUCAAAAGCUGAACUUAGUGGUAAAACCAUGUCUCUACUAAAAAUAAAAAAAUUAGCCGGGCAUGGUGGCGCAUGCCUGUAAUCCCAGCUCCUAAAAAAAAAAAAAAAAAAAAAAAAAAAAAAAAAAAAAGCUGAACUUAAAAAGAAAAGGGAAAGAAAGAAAAUUGCCUGAAAGGAUAAACACCAAAAUGGUGAGAAAGGGAAGUAGAAUUAGGGAGGACCUGGUGAGUGGGAAAAUUUUCAUUUAUUAUCUGCAUACGUCAAUAUUGUUCAAAUUUUUACUUUAAGAAGACCUUACUUUUGCCGGGCAUGGUGGCUCACGCCUGUAAUCCCAGCACUUUGGGAGGCCAAGGUGGGCGGAUCACCUGAGGUCAGGAGUUCGAGACCAGCCUGACCAACAUGGAGAAACCCUGUCUCUACAUUUAAAAAAAAAUCUUAAAAAAAAAUUCUAAAAUGCAACAGAUUUUUUUUUUUUUUCCGUCCCGGGUUCAUGCCAUUCUCCUGCCUCAGCCUCCCGAGUAGCUGGGACUACAGGCACCCGUCACCACACCCAGCUAAUUUUUUGUAUUUUUAGUAGAGACAGGGUUUCACCAUGUUAGCCAGGAUGGUCUCGAUCUCCUGACGUCGUGAUCCACCCACCUCGGCCUCCCAAAGUGCUGGGAUUACAGGCAUGAGCCAAAGCGAUCGGCCAAAUGCAACAGAUUUUUUUGUUUUGUUUUUGUUUUUGUUUUCAGAUGGAGUCUCACCCAGCCUGGAGUACAGUAGUAUGAUCUGCAACCUUUGCCUCCCAGGUUCAGGCGAUUCUCCUGUCUCAGCCUCCGGAGUAUCUGGGAUUACAGGCACGUGCCACCACGCCCGGCUAAUUUUUUGUAUUUUUAGUAGAGAUGGGUUUCACCGUGUUAGCCAGGAUGGUCUCGAACUCCUGACCUCGUGAUCUACCCGCCUUGGCCUCCCAAAGUGCUGGGAUUACAGGCAUGAGCUACCGUGCUCGGCCAUGCCUGGCUAAUUUAUAUAUACAUAUAUAUAUAUAUAUAUAUUUUUUUUUUUUUUUUUUUUUUUUUGAGACAGAGUCUUGCUCUGUCACCCAGGUUGGAGUGCAGUGGCAUGAUCUCGGCUCACUGCAAGCUCGCCUCCCAGGUUCACGCCAUUCUCCUGCCUCAGCCUCCUGAGUAGCUGGGACUACAGGCGCCCGCAUGACGCCCGGCUAAUUUUUUGUAUUUUUAGUAGAGACGGGGUUUCACUGUGUUAGCCAGGAUGGUCUCGAUCUCCUGACCUCGUGAUCUGCCCACCUCAGCCUCCGAAAGUGCUGGGAUUACAGACAUGAGCCACCGCACCCAGCCUUAUAUAUAUAUUUUUUAUUAGUGAAGAGGUUUCGCCAUAUUGGCCAGACUGGUCUCGAACUCCUGACCUCAGGUGAUCCACCCACCUCGGCCUCCCAAAGUGCUGGGAUUACAGGUGGGAGCCACCGCACCCUGCCUAAAAUGCAAAAGAUUUUGAAUGGCGAGAAUGGCGACAUGAUGCCACAAGUGGAAAAUUCCACACCUGGCUGCAUGUAAUGGGUUGAAGUCAAAAUGCAGUCAAAAACUUUGUUUCAUGUACAAAAUUAUUAAAAACAUUGUAUAAAAUCACCUUCAGACUAUGUGUAUGUGAAACCUAAGUGAAUUUAAUGGCUAGACUUCAGUUGCAUUCCCAAGAUCUCUCAUUAUGUAUAUGCAAAUAUUUUGAAAUUCAACCUGGUUCCACACAUUUUAGAUAAGGGAUACUCAAGCUGUAAUUAACAAAUAAACUUUUCACAGUCCAAGCAGCCAAAGGCCCACUGUCCCUGUUCCCUCAGCUCACGCCCCCUUCCGUGCACAGCCUUAUCUAAUCCUUCUACCCUUC
RNAcentral lists this long non-coding RNA (6549 nucleotides) under Homo sapiens (human). RNAcentral describes it as "non-protein coding LINC01629:9". The record is from RNAcentral. Lineage: Eukaryota; Metazoa; Chordata; Mammalia; Primates; Hominidae.